This 449-nucleotide ribosomal RNA is filed under the name uncultured bacterium. Its description in RNAcentral is "partial 16S ribosomal RNA". It matches the Rfam family "Bacterial small subunit ribosomal RNA", at positions 29 to 523 of the family's 1533-position model. The record is from RNAcentral.
AACGAACGCUGGCGGCAUGCCUAACACAUGCAAGUCGAACGAGAUCUUCGGGUCUAGUGGCGCACGGGUGCGUAACGCGUGGGAAUCUGCCCUUUGGUUCGGAAUAACAGUUGGAGACGACUGCUAAUACCGGAUGAUGACGAAAGUCCAAAGAUUUAUCGCCAGAGGAUGAGCCCGCGUAGGAUUAGCUAGUUGGUGUGGUAAAGGCGCACCAAGGCGACGAUCCUUAGCUGGUCUGAGAGGAUGAUCAGCCACACUGGGACUGAGACACGGGCCAGACUCCUACGGGUGGCAGCAGUGGGGAAUAUUGGACAAUGGGCGAAAGCCUGAUCCAGCAAUGCCGCGUGAGUGAUGAGGGCCUUAGGGUUGUAAAGCUCUUUUACCCGGGAUGAUAAUGACAGUACCGGGAGAAUAAGCUCCGGCUAACUCCGUGCCAGCCGCCGCCGUAA